RNAcentral lists this ribosomal RNA (465 nucleotides) under uncultured bacterium. RNAcentral describes it as "bacterial SSU rRNA". It matches the Rfam family "Bacterial small subunit ribosomal RNA", at positions 338 to 795 of the family's 1533-position model. The record is from RNAcentral.
CCUACGGGUGGCAGCAGUGGGGAAUAUUGCACAAUGGGCGCAAGCCUGAUGCAGCCAUGCCGCGUGUAUGAAGAAGGCCUUCGGGUUGUAAAGCACUUCCAGCGGGGAGGAAGGCGGUGAGGUUAAUAACCUCACCGAUUGACGUUACCCGCAGAAGAAGCACCGGCUAACUCCGUGCCAGCAGCCGCGGUAAUACGGAGGGUGCAAGCGUUAAUCGGAAUUACUGGGCGUAAAGCGCACGCAGGCGGUCUGUCAAGUCGGAUGUGAAAUCCCCGGGCUCAACCUGGGAACUGCAUUCGAAACUGGCAGGCUAGAGUCUUGUAGAGGGGGGUAGAAUUCCAGGUGUAGCGGUGAAAUGCGUAGAGAUCUGGAGGAAUACCGGUGGCGAAGGCGGCCCCCUGGACGAAGACUGACGCUGAGGCGCGAAAGCGUGGGGAGCAAACAGGAUUAGAUACCCUCGUAGUC